AGAGUUUGAUCCUGGCUCAGAUUGAACGCUGGCGGCAUGCCUUACACAUGCAAGUCGAACGGUAGCAGGUCUUCGGAUGCUGACGAGUGGCGAACGGGUGAGUAAUACAUCGGAACGUGCCCGAGAGUGGGGGAUAACGAGGCGAAAGCUUUGCUAAUACCGCAUACGAUCUCAGGAUGAAAGCAGGGGACCGCAAGGCCUUGCGCUCACGGAGCGGCCGAUGGCAGAUUAGGUAGUUGGUGGGAUAAAAGCUUACCAAGCCGACGAUCUGUAGCUGGUCUGAGAGGACGACCAGCCACACUGGGACUGAGACACGGCCCAGACUCCUACGGGAGGCAGCAGUGGGGAAUUUUGGACAAUGGGCGCAAGCCUGAUCCAG
This 379-nucleotide ribosomal RNA is filed under the name uncultured bacterium. Its description in RNAcentral is "bacterial SSU rRNA". It matches the Rfam family "Bacterial small subunit ribosomal RNA", at positions 8 to 391 of the family's 1533-position model. The record is from RNAcentral.